RNAcentral lists this ribosomal RNA (440 nucleotides) under uncultured bacterium. RNAcentral describes it as "partial 16S ribosomal RNA". It matches the Rfam family "Bacterial small subunit ribosomal RNA", at positions 338 to 795 of the family's 1533-position model. The record is from RNAcentral.
CCUACGGGAGGCAGCAGUGGGGAAUAUUGCACAAUGGGGGAAACCCUGUUGCAGCGACGCCGCGUGAGUGAAGAAGUAAUUCUUUAUGUAAAGCUCUAUCAGCAGGGAAGACAAUGACGGUACCUGAGUAAGAAGCCCCGGCUACCUACGUGCCAGCAGCCGCGGUCAUACGUAGGGGGCAAGCGUUAUCCGGAUUUACUGGGUGUAAAGGGAGCGUAGACGGCAGUGCAAGUCUGGAGUGAAAGGCGGGGGCUCAACCCCCGGACUGCUCUGGAAACUGUACGGCUGGAGUGCAGGAGAGGUAAGUGGAAUUCCUAGUGUAGCGGUGAAAUGCGUAGAUAUUAGGAGGAACACCAGUGGCGAAGGCGGCUUACUGGACUGUAACUGACGUUGAGGCUCGAAAGCGUGGGGAGCAAACAGGAUUAGAUACCCUGGUAGUC